This 546-nucleotide ribosomal RNA is filed under the name uncultured Glomus. Its description in RNAcentral is "SSU rRNA". It matches the Rfam family "Eukaryotic small subunit ribosomal RNA", at positions 548 to 1098 of the family's 1831-position model. Lineage: Eukaryota; Fungi; Glomeromycota; Glomeromycetes; Glomerales; Glomeraceae. The record is from RNAcentral.
UUGGAGGGCAAGUCUGGUGCCAGCAGCCGCAGUAAUUCCAGCUCCAAUAGCGUAUAUUAAAGUUGUUGCAGUUAAAAAGCUCGUAGUUGAAUUUCGGGAUUAGUACGUUGGUCGUGCCUUAGGUACGUACUGGUGUUACUGGUUCCUACCUUCUGACGAACCAUCAUGUCAUUAAUUUGGUGUGGUGGGGAAUCAGGACUGUUACUUUGAAAAAAUUAGAGUGUUUAAAGCAGGCUCGCGCUUGAAUACAUUAGCAUGGAAUAAUGAAAUAGGACGUUGAUCCUAUUUUGUUGGUUUCUAGGAUUGACGUAAUGAUUAAUAGGGAUAGUUGGGGGCAUUAGUAUUCAAUUGUCAGAGGUGAAAUUCUUGGAUUUAUUGAAGACUAACUACUGCGAAAGCAUUUGCCAAGGAUGUUUUCAUUAAUCAAGAACGAAAGUUAGGGGAUCGAAGACGAUCAGAUACCGUCGUAGUCUUAACCAUAAACUAUGCCGACUAGGGAUCGGAUGAUGUUAUUUUUAAUGACUCAUUCGGCACCUUACGGGAAAC